UCCCACAAGUGGGCUUAGCUUGGGCUCUCAAUAAUUAAUUCCAUUGAGCUAGCCAUUUUACUUGAUUACUUACUAACAAAAAUAAAAUUAGGCUUCCUCUACAAAUUAGAUUGGGCCUUUAUAAUUCUUGUCCCAUACAUAAUAUGCUAGGCUAGAUUAUUAAUUUAAUCGCCCUUAAAUCAUAUUAUCUACAAGUCUCAUACUUAAUUAAUAAAUUGGGCUUGCUUAUAUAAUAUAACUUCCUUAGUCCAUUAAAUAAAUUUCUCUUGGACUCUCUAUAAAUUAAUUGGGCUAUGAUAUUAUUAUAGCCCAUUACUUCUAAUUCUAUUCCAUUCUACCCUUAUCAUUAAAUUAGAGUUUACAUGCACUCAA
RNAcentral lists this long non-coding RNA (372 nucleotides) under Panax ginseng (ginseng). RNAcentral describes it as "long non-coding RNA (PGIN_LNC011179)". Lineage: Eukaryota; Viridiplantae; Streptophyta; Magnoliopsida; Apiales; Araliaceae. The record is from RNAcentral.